GAAUUAUGUGCUGGUGGUGAGCUAUUUGAUCGAAUUGUAGCCAGGGGCCAUUAUAGCGAGAGAUCUGCGGCUUCUGUAUUCAGGGUAAUUAUGAAUGUUGUGAAUAUUUGCCACUCUAAGGGUGUUAUGCACAGGGACCUCAAACCUGAGAAUUUCUUGUUCACCAGCACGGACGAGAAUGCUGUUUUGAAGGCCGCUGAUUUUGGGUUGUCAAUGUUCAUUGAAGAGGGUAAAUUUCUUGUCCUUCCUUGCAUAUUAUCUAUGUUUAGACUUUACUGAAUAUAGUAGUCUCUCAUGCCAGUAGAAUUUUCCAAUAUGUAUCAUUUGAGUAAGCCGUAACUCAGCUUAAUGUAUUGAUUUAGGUGAAAAUCAUAAGAAAAUAAUGCAAAACUCUUAGGAUCACUAUGAAAGGCGGAUUUAAUUAAUCUAGCUAUUAAUCUAUCCUUUUUUUAUUAUCCCGUGAUACAUUUUCCAGGAAAGGCAUACAGCGAAAUAGUUGGAAGUCCUUACUAUAUGGCUCGCGAAGUAUUAUUGCGAAGUUAUGGGAAGGAAGCAGACAUUUGGAGCGCAGGAGUGAUAUUGUAUAUUUUAUUGUGUGGUGUGCCUCCCUUUUGGGCAGGUGAAAAUCAAUAUUCUUUUUGCACCCUACACGAUCUCUUUUCACUUCAACAACGUAUUUGUAUUUCUUACCGUCAACUAAGAGUACAGAGUGUGACUAUGACCACUCUGAAUUUUUUGUGUGCUCUGCAGAAACGGAGCAGGGAGUUGCUCAGGCUAUAUUAAAAGGAGAAAUUAACUUCCAACGUGAUCCAUUUCCAAGUAUAUCAAGCAGUGCCAUAGAGUUGGUUCGCAGGAUGCUAACACUGGAUCCAAAAAGGCGGAUUACUGCUGCUCAAGUUCUAGGUUUAAAGUAUUGGAUCCUCAUGUUAUUAAUUUUUCUCAUUCAUUCUAUCUAUGCUGCUUUGAUUACUGCAAGUUAAAAUUUAUUGGUCUAUUUAAUAAUACAAAUGGUAUAGCUACCACUGAAAAAUGUAUAUGAUAUGCAGAGCACCCUUGGCUUAAAGAAAGUGGAGAAGCAUCAGAUAAGCCAAUCGAUACUGCUGUUAUUUUCAGGAUGAAGCAGUUUACGGCAAUGAAUAAACUAAAGAAACUUGCACUAAAGGUAAGUCUAACUGUCUAAGGCCCAUGAGUCCCUCCUAAAUGAGCUUAAACUUGAGAAAUACUUGGAUAGGAUUGAUAGAUAUAAAGGAAAGUGACAAAGCUUGUAUCUUAAGCACACGUGACAAAUAAUAUACAUGUGUCAAAAGAUUCUCCAAAUUAUAACAUGUAUGUGAAUCUAUACCUGAUGACAUUGUAUGCAUCAUGACGACAUUUUAAUUCUAAAUAUUAUAACAGAAAUUUAUAUGACUGACUAUUAUGAGUUACAUGUUUGAUUGAAAUUUUGCAUCUACGCUUCCUCGUCAACAACAUUAUAUUGUAUUGUUGUAUUUUGAAAACUUGUGCAAGCCAAUAAAAAUUUAUGUAUUCUAUUGUGUUCGCCCUACUGAUGAACCAUGUGUUCUUUAGGUCAUUGUGGAAAAUCUUCCUACUGAAGAAAUACAAAAACUAAAAGAAAAAUUUACAGAGAUGGACACUGACAACAGUGGCACUCUUACUUACGAUGAAUUGAAGGAAGGAUUAGCUAAACUUGGAUCGACACUUACAGAAUUUGAUGUCAAGCAGUACAUGCAGGCUGUAAGUAAUUCAUGAACGCUGAGUUUAUCACACUGUCUGUCUAUUUGCAUUAUACCCAGCUGAUAUUGUUGGCUCUGCAUUUCUGCAGGCUGAUAUAGAUGGAAAUGGGACCAUUGACUACAUUGAGUUUAUAACAGCUACGAUGCAAAGGCACAAGCUACAAAGAUUUGAAAAUCUUUAUAAAGCCUUUCAGUACUUUGACAAGGAUAAUAAUGGGUAAGCUUCUCAUUUUAUUUUUAUUAUUAUAGAAGCAUGUUGAGCAUUAUUUGCAUCCUCAGUUUUUUCAUGAUCUGAAUGGGGAAUAUUGAAAACCUACUCCCUCCAUUAACUGGCUUAAAUUUAAUGGGUUUAUAUAUGGAGUCAAUUGACUAAUUAAUGAAGUUCUUUUUCUAAAUGGCUAUGUAGAUAUAUCACGGUAGAUGAACUCGGAAAAGCUUUCAAAGAUUAUGGCAUGGGUGAUGAUGCCACAAUUGCUACAAUUAAAGAAAUAAUGUCUGAAGUUGACAGAGACAAAGUAAGUUGAUUUUCAGUUUCAAGGGCAUUAGUAAUUUGUCUUCAUUAUUGUAAGUCAAUUCCCACGCCUUUAAUUUGUGUAUACAGGAUGGUAGAAUCAGCUAUGAUGAAUUUCGUUCAAUGAUGAAAUGCGGAACCCAACUGCGAGCAUUGUCUUCUAGAUCUCUAGCUCAUGUUGUAACUGUAAGACGCAAGGUAUUCUGGUAGGUAAACUGUGUUGUUAUUCAUCGUUUUCUGUAUAUCUUUGUAAAUUUUGUUAUUGCAGUUUUGUGAGAGUGUAUUAGAACAAUAAUAGUCAUAUACGGAAUUGCACAAAUUUACCUUCUCCCCUUUUUCUUCUUACAGUCAAAUAUAUAAAUAUACGGAAGUGAACAAAUUUUGUGAUGCAUACGUAGGCUCUGAAUAUUGUAGGAUCAAAAGAUUUAUACAUUAUUUCUAUUAAGAUUUGUUUCUAUGAAAUAAAAUACAGUUGAAACAAAUACAUGGAUGAGUAUACGCUUUAUUCUAUGAAUUUCCUCUGAUUGAAAAAAGGAAAAUGCAGAGAGGCGAGAGAGAAGACAUCAGCAAAAAUCACCAUCAUCACAGCAGCAAACGGGCACUUAAUAAAUUAGAAAGUCUUUCUUCUCGUCACAAUAAUUAACCUUUCUUGAUUUGCCCAAUUUUGUUAAAAUGUUAAGCCUAGAGAGAGCUUCGUCACUUCGCCAUUGCAACUUGGGGGUUUUCAUUGCACUCGAAUCGCCAUUUCAGCCUCUGAGGAAGACGAAUUAGAGGACAAUGCCUGUGGGUCAGUGUGUUAACAUAACCAAAAUUGUAAACGGCAGUGAUCCUUCAACAGCUUUGAAAACUCGCUCUUUUUAUCAAUCAAUUUCUUCAAGCUGAGACCUUGUUCAGAGAUGGAGAGGGGAGCAACAAAGAGAGAAAAGGACUUGAAAAAUAAAAUAAAAAAUUGUUUGCAUUAAAUUAUUUGCAAAUCUAAGGUUGUUUUUGUCUUUUUAUUACUAGUGGAUAAUAUUAGGGGCAAAUAUAAUACAUUCAUCGGUCAACUAUGGUUUGACCAUAAAGAAAAAAACAAAAAACUAAUGACAUGAGGGUGGGGGGAUGACUUUUCCAAUAAUUGGACCAUAAUAAACCCCAAAAAAAACGCAUUUUUUACGAAUUAUUUUAUAUAUUAAAUGCAAUUAUCUUCAUAUUAUUAAUCUGUUAGAAGAUUUUUAUUGGGAAUAUUAAUUUUUGAACUAUUUAUAAAAUUUUUAAAAAAAUAAUGAAUGAUGUGGGCUAUGUGUAUAUUUGAAAGAGGCUUUUGCUACCUUACAUGUACGUAAGGUACAGCCUCUCACAAGGUUGGUGGGUUUAAAUGGGACCCAUAUCUGAGUUUUGUGAGAAGACUAUACCUUACGUGCAUGUAAGGUAGCAGCUCCCUUUGAAAUAUAUAAUUUAAUUUAUUGAUUUUUUAAAUUUAUGGGGAGAAUAAAAAUAUGAAUGGAAUCUUUGUUAUUCAUUGUUUGUGUCAUGGGGAAGGUUCAUUAUCGGGUUACACCACCAUCAUUUAUUCAAACUUCUAUCCUAUCCCACGCGUUUCUUUUUCGCUGACCAUUUCGAACAAAAGCCAAAAAAUUUCAGAAUUUCUUACCAAAAAAAAAAAGGGCCAAUAAAUUUUAACCAUAACGACGCAUAGUUUGAUAGUUAAAAUACAUACGCGUACCAAUAUACAGUUGAUAUCUCCGAAGUGGGCAAGCUGGAAUUGCUCUUUGUAUAUUAUUUUACUUUUCCUUAAAAUCUCACUUGAUUCCCUAUAAUUUAUCUUUGAUCUCAAGUGGAUUUGUUCCAGUUGACUUCUGUAAAGAUCCAGACAUCCAGAGUUGAGCUUGAGCUGAGCCUCUUAUGCAGAAAUGGGUGGCUGUUUAAGCAAAAUCCCGGGCUCCUCAAAGCCAGCAGCAGCCCGACAGCAGCAACCACCUAAACUAGAUGAUGCAAUUCUUGGUAAACCGUACGAGGAUGUGGGGUUGCAUUACACUAUUGGGAAAGAACUGGGUAUGGGAGCAUUUGCUGUUACAUAUCUUUGUACUGAGAAUUCAACCGGUUUGCAAUUUGCUUGCAAGUCUAUCUCUAAGAAAAAAAUUGUAGCUGCGUAUGAAAAGGAUGAUGUAAGAAGAGAGAUUGAGAUAAUGCGACAUUUGAGUGGGCAGCCUAAUAUAGUUCAAUUUAAGGGUGCUUAUGAGGACAGGCAUUCUGUGCAUAUUGUCAUGGAGUUAUGUGCUGGUGGUGAGCUAUUUGACCGAAUUAUAGCCAAGGGCCAUUAUAGUGAGAGAGAUGCGGCUUCUGUAUUCAGGGUAAUUAUGAAUGUUGUGGAUGUUUGCCACUCUAAGGGUGUUAUGCACAGGGAUCUCAAACCUGAGAAUUUCUUGUUCACUACCAGGGAUGAGAAUGCUGUUUUGAAGGCCACUGAUUUUGGGUUAUCAGUGUUCUUUGAAGAGGGUAAAUUUCUUCACCAUAUAUAUGUUUGUAUUUAAAAUCCAUUAUAGUCACCAUAUAUAUGUUUGUAUUUGAAAUCUUAUAUUUACAUACGUUCAUGUGAACCUAAGUUUCGAUGUUCAAUUAUGUCUGAUAAAUGAAUGGCAUUUCCAUUUAAUUUCAAUAGUGAAUUAGACAUGCAGUAUGCCGUGAGGCUUCAUGUAUUACUUUAGAUGAAAUCAUCAGAAAAUAAUGUGAAACUCUUAGGAUCACCAUGAAAGGCUUGUUUAAUCUAGCUAUCAACUUAUCCUUG
Molecule: long non-coding RNA, 5011 nt
Filed under: Citrus maxima (pomelo)
Lineage: Eukaryota; Viridiplantae; Streptophyta; Magnoliopsida; Sapindales; Rutaceae
Description: long non-coding RNA (CMAX_LNC001872)
Source: RNAcentral